AACGAACGCUGGCGGCAUGCCUAACACAUGCAAGUCGAACGAGAUCUUCGGGUCUAGUGGCGCACGGGUGCGUAACGCGUGGGAAUCUGCCCUUCGGUUCGGAAUAACAGUUGGAAACGACUGCUAAUACCGGAUGAUGACGAAAGUCCAAAGAUUUAUCGCCAGAGGAUGAGCCCGCGUAGGAUUAGCUAGUUGGUGUGGUAAAGGCGCACCAAGGCGACGAUCCUUAGCUGGUCUGAGAGGAUGAUCAGCCACACUGGGACUGAGACACGGCCCAGACUCCUACGGGAGGCAGCAGUGGGGAAUAUUGGACAAUGGGCGCAAGCCUGAUCCAGCCAUGCCGCGUGAGUGAUGAAGGCCUUAGGGUUGUAAAGCUCUUUCACCGGAGAAGAUAAUGACGGUAUCCGGAGAAGAAGCCCCGGCUAACUUCGUGCCAGCCGCCGCUGUAA
RNAcentral lists this ribosomal RNA (449 nucleotides) under uncultured bacterium. RNAcentral describes it as "partial 16S ribosomal RNA". It matches the Rfam family "Bacterial small subunit ribosomal RNA", at positions 29 to 523 of the family's 1533-position model. The record is from RNAcentral.